AGAGUUUGAUCAUGGCUCAGGACGAACGCUGGCGGCGUGCUUAACACAUGCAAGUCGAACGGAAAGGCCCUUCGGGGUACUCGAGUGGCGAACGGGUGAGUAACACGUGGGUGAUCUGCCCUGCACUUUGGGAUAAGCCUGGGAAACUGGGUCUAAUACCGAAUAGGACUACGCGAUGCAUGUCGUGUGGUGGAAAGCUUUUGCGGUGUGGGAUGGGCCCGCGGCCUAUCAGCUUGUUGGUGGGGUGAUGGCCUACCAAGGCGACGACGGGUAGCCGGCCUGAGAGGGUGUCCGGCCACACUGGGACUGAGAUACGGCCCAGACUCCUACGGGAGGCAGCAGUGGGGAAUAUUGCACAAUGGGCGCAAGCCUGAUGCAGCGACGCCGCGUGGGGGAUGACGGCCUUCGGGUUGUAAACCCCUUUCAGCACAGACGAAGCGCAAGUGACGGUAUGUGCAGAAGAAGCACCGGCCAACUACGUGCCAGCAGCCGCGGUAAUACGUAGGGUGCGAGCGUUGUCCGGAAUUACUGGGCGUAAAGAGCUCGUAGGUGGUUUGUCGCGUUGUUCGUGAAAACUCACAGCUCAACUGUGGGCGUGCGGGCGAUACGGGCAGACUGGAGUACUGCAGGGGAGACUGGAAUUCCUGGUGUAGCGGUGGAAUGCGCAGAUAUCAGGAGGAACACCGGUGGCGAAGGCGGGUCUCUGGGCAGUAACUGACGCUGAGGAGCGAAAGCGUGGGGAGCGAACAGGAUUAGAUACCCUAGUAGUCC
Molecule: ribosomal RNA, 771 nt
Filed under: uncultured bacterium
Lineage: Bacteria
Description: bacterial SSU rRNA
Rfam family: Bacterial small subunit ribosomal RNA
Source: RNAcentral